GCGGGAGUAGCUCAGUCGGUUAGAGCGUAUGGCCCUUAACCAUAAGGUCGGAGGUUGGACCCCUUCCUCUAGCG
RNAcentral lists this transfer RNA (74 nucleotides) under Theobroma cacao (cacao). It matches the Rfam family "tRNA". From Rfam's summary of the family: Transfer RNA (tRNA) molecules are approximately 80 nucleotides in length. Lineage: Eukaryota; Viridiplantae; Streptophyta; Magnoliopsida; Malvales; Malvaceae. The record is from Rfam by way of RNAcentral.